GAGUUUGAUCAUGGCUCAGAGCGAACGCUGGCGGCAUGCUUAACACAUGCAAGUCGCACGGGCAGCUUCGGCUGUCAGUGGCGGACGGGUGAGUAACGCGUAGGUAUCUAUCCUUGGGUGGGGGAUAACCGACGGGAAACUGUGGCUAAUACCGCAUGACGACUGAGGUCCAAAGGCGCAAGUCGCCUGGGGAGGAGCCUGCGUCCGAUUAGCUUGUUGGUGGGGUAAAGGCCUACCAAGGCUCCGAUCGGUAGCUGGUCUGAGAGGAUGAUCAGCCACACUGGCACUGAGAUACGGGCCAGACUCCUACGGGAGGCAGCAGUAGGGAAUAUUGGUCAAUGGAUGCAAGUCUGAACCAGCCAUGCCGCGUGCAGGAAGAAGGCCUUCUGGGUU
Molecule: ribosomal RNA, 393 nt
Filed under: uncultured Alphaproteobacteria bacterium
Lineage: Bacteria; Pseudomonadati; Pseudomonadota; Alphaproteobacteria
Description: bacterial SSU rRNA
Rfam family: Bacterial small subunit ribosomal RNA
Source: RNAcentral